UAGGGAAUCUUCGGCAAUGGGGGGAACCCUGACCGAGCAACGCCGCGUGAGUGAAGAAGGUUUUCGGAUCGUAAAGCUCUGUUGUUAAGGAAGAACGAGUGUGAGAAUGGAAAGUUCAUGCUGUGACGGUACUUAACCAGAAAGGGACGGCUAACUACGUGCCAGCAGCCGCGGUAAUACGUAGGUCCCGAGCGUUGUCCGGAUUUAUUGGGCGUAAGGCGAGCGCAGGCGGUUAGAAAAGUCUGAAGUGAAAGGCAGUGGCUCAACCAUUGUAGGCUUUGGAAACUGUUUAACUUGAGUGCAGAAGGGGAGAGUGGAAUUCCAUGUGUAGCGGUGAAAUGCGUAGAUAUAUGGAGGAACACCGGUGGCGAAAGCGGCUCUCUGGUCUGUAACUGACGCUGAGGCUCGAAAGCGUGGGGAGCGAACAGG
RNAcentral lists this ribosomal RNA (429 nucleotides) under Bacteroidota bacterium. Its description in RNAcentral is "Bacteroidetes bacterium partial 16S ribosomal RNA". It matches the Rfam family "Bacterial small subunit ribosomal RNA", at positions 355 to 776 of the family's 1533-position model. Lineage: Bacteria; Pseudomonadati; Bacteroidota. The record is from RNAcentral.